Molecule: RNA transcript, 1535 nt
Organism: Solanum dulcamara
Lineage: Eukaryota; Viridiplantae; Streptophyta; Magnoliopsida; Solanales; Solanaceae
Gene name: transcription termination factor MTERF15, mitochondrial-like
Exons: 2
Source: RefSeq, a predicted model, not a curated record
CCAAAUUUAUUUCAAUUACACCAGACUCAAAACAAUUUUACAAACCGACCGCACGCCGGGCCCUAAUCUAGUGAGGCGGGUGAAGCAGCGGAGGGGAAGUGAGAAACCGGCGACAAAUAAGAAGUGAGAUUGGUUGUUUUGAUGUUGAGAAUUAGUAUCAAUGGCGCCCAAAAGCGUCUCUUUUCGUUCCUUUAUUCUACAGUUGCACCGGGAGUGUCUAGUGUAUUGAUGGAGUUCCUGGUAAACUCACUUGACCUCUCAACAAAAGAAGCCUUUUCCACAAGCGCCAAGUUAACUCGUUUGAGGCCCAGACACUAUGACCCGCAUUUGUUACUUCAUCUCCUCGAAGAAAUGGGUAUGAACAAAUCACAGAUCAAAACCCUUGUUUCUUCUUCUCCUGAAUUGUUGUUUUAUCGCGUUGACGAAGUCCUCAAACCCAAACUCAAGGUUUUUACAGCGACUUGGCUUAUCUGGUUCUCAACUUGCUACAUUAAUUAGAAAAAGCAAUUUUUUGACAAGAGGUUUACAUACUAUUAUAGAGCCUAAUCUUGUUUAUCUGAGGGAUUUAUUGCCCAUUCAUGACCAUCUAGCUAUGAUUCUUAUAAAAGCACCUAGGUUGCUUUCCAAUAAUCUCACAGGCAUCCUAGGUAUCUGCUCAAUAGUCGUGACUGGAUUGAGAAAGCAGUACAUCGACUAGAAAAGGAUUUUCAUAUGCCUCUCAGUUCAGGGAUGUUUCUUCAUGGCGUUCUAGUACUUGUGUGCCUUAAUGAAUCGAAAUUAGAAAGGAAAUUAGAUAUUUUUCGGAGUUUUGGAUGGUCUAAUUCUGAUAUCGGCCGAAUGGUGCAAAAGCUUCCUUACUGUUUGGCUUCAUCAGAGGCUAAGAUAAGGACUACAUUGAACUUUUUCAUGAACGAACUGGGGUAUGAAUCUAGUUAUCCCACUUCUCAUGCACCGCUUUUAAAGUUUAGCUUGGAGAAGAGGAUCAUGCCAAGGAAUGAAAUCUUGAAAUUUCUUAAAGAAAACCAGCUGAUAAAAGGGAAGCUAAGUCUUUACACUGUUGUGUCAUGUUCUGAACCGGAUUUUCAAAAGAAAUAUCUACUUCCUUUCUGGGAAAAGAUGCCGGAGAUAUAUGAUUUAUACGUGAAAAGUAAAAACUAAAAAGAAAUCUUUACAGUGGCUGCAGAGCAAAGAGUUUUAGGGAGAGAUAGAUAGCAAGAUGAAGAUGGUGAAGGUGAAUUUGAAGACGACAAAGUUUGACUUCAUUGGAGAGCUUUCAUUUACAAACAAAUUACUAUAAUCUUUGAACAAAUUUCAAUGAGUGAGAAAAAUGUAAAAACUGUGAUAACGCAAUUUCCUUUUAACUUUGAAAAAUUCAACUUUUUGAAUUUUUUAACUAGAUAACGACGGCGGACAAAUGCGAUUCCGGCCAAGGCCGUGAAAGCAAAAAGUACUAAUCCAACAUUUGAGAGGUCUCUGUCAUUGUUGGAAAUAACUGUGUCUUUGUCACCUUAUUUCAAUCAAAGAACCCUAGAUCU